Molecule: ribosomal RNA, 253 nt
Filed under: uncultured bacterium
Lineage: Bacteria
Description: partial 16S ribosomal RNA
Rfam family: Bacterial small subunit ribosomal RNA
Source: RNAcentral
UACGUAGGGGGCUAGCGUUGUCCGGAAUCAUUGGGCGUAAAGCGCGUGUAGGCGGCCCGAUAAGUCCGCUGUGAAAGUCCAGGGCUCAACCCUGGGAUGCCGGUGGAUACUGUCGGGCUCGAGUCCGGAAGAGGCGAGUGGAAUUCCUGGUGUAGCGGUGAAAUGCGCAGAUAUCGGGAGGAACACCAAUGGCGAAGGCAGCUCGCUGGGACGUGACUGACGCUGAGACGCGAAAGCGUGGGGAGCAAACAGG